RNAcentral lists this ribosomal RNA (422 nucleotides) under uncultured bacterium. RNAcentral's name for it is "bacterial SSU rRNA". It matches the Rfam family "Bacterial small subunit ribosomal RNA", at positions 355 to 774 of the family's 1533-position model. The record is from RNAcentral.
UAAGGAAUAUUGGUCAAUGGACGCAAGUCUGAACCAGCCAUGCCGCGUGAAGGAUUAAGGUCCUCUGGAUUGUAAACUUCUUUUAUCUGGGACGAAACACUUCUUUUCUAAGAGGCCUGACGGUACCAGAUGAAUAAGCACCGGCUAACUCCGUGCCAGCAGCCGCGGUAAUACGGAGGGUGCAAGCGUUAUCCGGAUUCACUGGGUUUAAAGGGUGCGUAGGUGGGUAUGUAAGUCAGAGGUGAAAUCCCCGAGCUUAACUUGGGAACUGCCUUUGAUACUAUAUAUCUUGAAUGCCGUAGAGGUUAGCGGAAUAUGUCAUGUAGCGGUGAAAUGCUUAGAUAUGACAUGGAACACCAAUUGCGAAGGCAGCUUACUAUGCGGUUAUUGACACUGAGGCACGAAAGCGUGGGUAGCAAACA